Long non-coding RNA from Acinonyx jubatus (cheetah), 3893 nucleotides. RefSeq lists it as uncharacterized. Lineage: Eukaryota; Metazoa; Chordata; Mammalia; Carnivora; Felidae. The record is from RefSeq and is a predicted model, not a curated record. The transcript is spliced from 3 exons.
UGCAUUUAAAGGCACAUGUACAGCACAGCAGAUUAUAUAUUAAUAUAACUUUUUCAGUUAUUUUCAAAGCUAUGUUUCUUUUUUUUUAAAUUUUUUUUAACAUUCAUUUUUGAGAGUGAGAGAGACAGCAUGAACAGGGGAGGGGCAGAGAGAGAGAGGGAGACACAGAAUCCAAAGCAGGCUCCAGGCUCUGAGCUGUCAGCACAGAGCCCGAUGCGGGGCUCGUACUCACGGACUGCGAGAUCAUGACCUGAGCCGAAGUCAGAUGCUCAACCUACUGAGCCACCCAGGUGUCCUUCAAAGUCAGAUUUCACAGUGUCAGAGAAGACUCUUGAACACCACCGAUGGAGACGUUGGUUGUUCAUGGGACACCCGUGAGCUCCCCUCGAUUUCUCAGCCCUCUUACAGUAGGAGGGACCGUGAUGCUGGCCUGGCCAAUUGGAUAUGGACACUUAAGGGCCACGCAUGACCCUCCCGUGGGUGUUCACCCCUGCAGCAGCUGCGGGGGACUGUGGAGAUGUCCCGUCCCAGACGGUACAGCCUCGAUUUAUCUGUGUCCCUGAAUACUUGGUAGAGUAGAGCCUAUUGCUAACCUGUCGUAGACAGAUAUUGUGAAUAAGAAAUAAACUGUCAUGCUAAGCCACUGAGUUUCAGGGGUCAAUUUGUUACCACAACAUACUUUAUACUAUUUGUGACUACAACAUGGUAUUUGUUACCACAACAUAGCUUAUACUGUUGAAAACUUUUUUUGUUUUGUAUUGAGAGCUUUGUAUUUUUUAAGAUGAUGAACAUAAAGUAUUAUUUGGCAGAAAUGUCUUCAUUAGAAUCCCGAGUUUGUGGAAAGGAUGUAGCAACACGUAUGAAGAGUAGUACAGGAGAGUCAUCUGGCCAGAUGUAAUCUUCCUCAAACUGAACUGAGGACCUUAAGGAGAUUCAUGCAGAGAUGUGAAACAUAGGAUUCCUCUUUCUGUUAAGAGCUGUUCCAGGCGUUACUGACUCCACCUCCUACUUGUGCCUGCCCCAACCCUGGAAAUUACUUUUAUUCCCUUCUACAAGGACUUUCAGCGUAAGAGAUUUAUGUAAACCUGGAUGCAUGGGAAGGAACCGAAGACAAAACUCACAGUCAUUUUAAGUUGAAAAUGUCCAGGUAAACAAUAUUAAAUGAUAAUUGGGCACUUAGAUUUCUGCAGCUCCCUGCGGCCGUCCCAACAGCAUCCUAUUUGAAGAUUCUGCAGAUGGCACUGGUCUAAGGUUCAUUGGAAGUGACUGACUGAACCGUGAAUGUGGUUGGAACACAGCAUUUGUGGAUCAAGAAAACAGCUAGCAAGGACUUUGAUUCUCCCCUUCUAUGUGACAACUUAAUUUUUUUUAUUACGUUUUAAAACGGUAUGAAUUGUAAGUUGCAUAUUUUUGUUUGGAAAAUACAGAUUCAAAUAUUUUUUUAAUGUUUUCUUUUCUUUUCUUUUCUUUUCUUUUCUUUCUUUUUUUUGGAGAGAGACAGAGUGCAAGUGGAGGAGGGGCAGAGAGAGAGGGAGACACAGAAUCCGAAGCAGGCCCCAAGCUCUGAGCUGUCAGCACAGAGCCCAACGCUGGUCUCGAACCUAUGAGCAGUGAGAUCAUGACCUGAACUGAAAUUGGAGGCUUAACUGACGGAGCCACCCAGGCGCCCCUGGAAAAUACAAAUUUUAGUUCAAACAUGACCUAUUUUUCUGAAUUGGAAUACAAACUUUAAAUUGACACUGUCUUUCUUUUUUGUUGUUUUAAACACUAAUGAAUGAAUCAAGAAAAUAAUGCUUAUUACAUGAUUAUUACCCAUUAUUACAUGGUUAUAGUCUUGUGUAGUGAAAGGGGUGUUAAGUGACAUGCUCUAGGGAGCAGAUAUGCUAGAUUGUUGGUUGAGAAGUUUGGGGGAGGAGGAAGAGAGUGAGCCUGAGGAGAAUGGCGGGUUAGAUUGAAGGACUGAUACACUGGAGAGCAAUGGAGUGUUGCUGGGGAUGUAGGGUCUGUGGGUCCAUCACUGUCUGUAGCUGAAGUAGGAGGCAUCCGGGGAAGUGUUUGUGGGGGGUUAACAACCUGCAGGCCACAGGGGCUGACAAGCAGUUUCCGUGGGUUCGUGGGUACAGAGCUCAGCUAGAGUGGUUCUAAAAGGGAUGCAGUGGAAGAACGGGGGGGUCCCCUGUUCCUGACCUACAGUAGGCUCAAGUACAGGAAGUCAAGUGCAAAACACUGCAAGUCAAUAAACAGAGCUUGAUAAAAGAAUAACAAAAUACACAAAGUAGAAGGAAAGAAAUAAGAGGAAAAAUUACACGAGGAGAGUAGAAAAAAAAUGAGGUUAAUCCAAACACCCAAGUCUAUGUUCUUUGAAAUGAUCGAUGAAGAUAUGAAACAAAUGAGCAGGAAGCAUGUUUGAAAAGGGACACAGAGGUAUAGAUACAAGAAUUUUAACAUUUUUAGGUUUAUUGAUUUAUUUUGAGAGAGAGAGAGAGAGAGAGAGAGAGAGAGAGAGAGAGAGAGAGAGAGGGAGAGAGACAGGCAGGCUCCAUGCUGUCAGCACCCAGCUGGAUGUGGGGCUUGAUCUCAUGCACAUGACCAGAGCUGAAACCAAGAGUCAGGUGCUUAACCACCUGAGCCACCCAGGCACCCCGAUUCAGGAACUUUUUUAAAUCUGAAAGAAUAUACAUUGUUAGAUAUGAUCAUUUGGUCCCAUUUCUACAGGUUCGCGAUCUACAGGGAAAAUCUUGCUGUCUGGAUCAGAAAACUUAGGAGCCCCGCCUUGGAGAGGCAGCAAGUCAUGGUGGUAAAAAGCGUAGGCUCUGGAGCACAGUGUGUGGACAUACACCUCAGACUGGCUCCUUCCCUCAGAACCAUAAAAGCAAAUAACACAAAUGUGUUUGAAUUACUUCAACUAAUAUGGUAAGGUCCCCACUCGAAUAGGAACAUUAACACAAACACUUACACAAGUCCUGUUACGAAUAUAUACUGAUGUUAAAUCAAUCCCAGAUUUUCAUCUGGCGUUUACUUAAUGCUAGCAUUAUCCAAAUGCUGUCUUUGACGUCCGUAGAUUUUCAUGGCUAGAGGAUUUGAUGGGUUUUCUUAGGAUAGGAAAUAUCUUCAAAGAAUUUACCAGAGCAAGGCAACAUCGAAGUAGACGCGUUUCUGUCUGAGCAGUCUAUCCUUAGCAUUCCAUCAGUGUGAUCGCAUCAGUGUGAUCAGCGGCAAAGCCAAAGAAGAAAAGGCCCAGCCCAGAUUCUAGAAGGGGGUGCAGCUGCUGAUGUUAGUCUGGUCUACCCAGUUCACCAACGCCUCUGAUCAAAGGAGUUAAAAUUCUGUGCCAACAGUUUAUGUUGAAAACAAACAAAAACAGCCCCCGAUGUUGGGAACUGAUCUGAAGUUCGCAGUUAGACCCCAGUGUUGCCACAAGCUAGUCUGACGUCCAAGUCUAGAUUGUUGUGUUCUCCCCUGGACGUGAACUAUCACAGAGUAUCAACAAGGUCACUGUGUGACACAAAGCACCAAACACUGCUCUCACUCACUCAAGGGGUGCUGAUGACUCUGCUAUUUAUAGCUUUUAUUUAAUUUGAUUUAAUUUAAUUUAAUUUAAUUUUUUUUAUCAUCCCUAUUGAUAAGAUUUGUGGGGACACCCAACUGUAGAAUCACCCCAGCUCUGUGACACCAUCCAGUUGAGGGCAAACCUUGCUUCCUUGGAUGUUCCACCAAAUGCCCCAACCAAAGCCUCAAUCCUAGAGAGCAUGAGUCUGCGAGGGCAAAGAGAGACAAUGCCAAGCAGGCUCCUCGCUGUCAGAACAGAGCCCAGCAUGGGGCUCGAACCGAUGAGCCAUGAGAUCGUGACCUGAGCUGAAGUGGGACGCUUAACCAACUGAGCCACCCAGGUG